This is a long non-coding RNA of Betta splendens (Siamese fighting fish), 1899 nucleotides long. The record is from Ensembl. NCBI's taxonomy places the organism in Eukaryota, Metazoa, Chordata, Actinopteri, Anabantiformes, Osphronemidae.
ACCGGACAUGGUCCAGGUGACCUGUGUGGCCAUUAAGGAAUGGACCAAGGUAACAAGAUUUUUUUAUACUUAAUUUUGCUGAAAUCUAUAAAGAUAUAUACUGUAUACAGCUAAGCACAAUUUUUUACCAUAAAAUGUGAUUUCAUUUGAAGAAGUGUUAUGCCACAUUUGUCUCACUUUUGGUUUCUAUAGAUCCUAAGGUUUAGAUUUACCCCUGCACCAGAGGCCAGUUGCACACAACAUCAGCAUGAUGCCAUAUUCUGGGAUGGAGAGCGGCUUCUUAGGACCACUGAAUUGGGACCACAGGGAAAACUAACAAAAAUUAAGGAGGGAGAAACAUAUUUUUUGAAAGGUUGCAGAGUGACAGAAUCAGGAUUUCUAAAUUUACACACACACACACACACACACACACACACACACACACACACACACACACACACACACACACUGUCUUGGUUGACUUUACCUCUGUUGGUGCAGGUCCAGCAAAAUGGACGUGCCUCAGGCAGCAGUGGAAGAAGGCCGGGCAAAGCUUUUCCCCAUGUCUCCUCAUAUUAGCUUUGAAGACCUGCAGAAUCCCCCAACUAUCUUUUCAGUUUGUGGAAAGGUUGUGAAAGUAAGUAUUUGAACAUGAUAAUAAAAUAAAUUGUACUACUAGUAAUAUUUUUAACAACUUCUUAUCAACUUGUAGAUGAGCCAAAUACUGUGCAAGGGGGAUAAUCUUCCUUUAACCCUCACGCAGCCUUCGAGGGGGUCAGUCUGACCCCACGAGACAAACUAUGAAACUUUUGAUUCUUUUUACAUUUUUGGCCACAAGGCACCUACGCGUCGCAGGAUCCACUGCGGCUUGGUCACCGCUCCCUUCUUCUUCGUCACAAAGGCCCCGUCCGCAUCCUCCCGGGGGUCCGGCGCGACCCCGGCCCACGGAACUUCCCCGUCAGGCGUCCUGCCCGGGGUCCGGCGCGACCCCAGCUCCCUGUACCUCCCCGUCAGGCGUCCUCCCGGGGUCAGGCGCGACCCCAGCCCCAUGUACCCUCCCCGUCCCGCAUCCUCCCGGGGUCAGGCGUGACCCCAGCUCCCUGUACCUCCCCGUCAGGCGUCCUCCCGGGGUCCGGCGCGACCCCGGCCCACGGAACCUCCCCGUCGGGCGUCCUGCCGGGGUCCGGCGCGACCCCAGCUCCCUGUACCUCCCCGUCAGGCGUCCUCCCGGGGUCAGGCGCGACCCCAGCCCCAUGUACCUCCCCGUCCCGCAUCCUCCCGGGUCAGGCGUGACCCCAGCUCCCUGUACCUCCCCGUCAGGCGUCCCUCCGGGGUCCGGCGCGACCCCGGCCCACGGAACCUCCCCUCGGGCGUCCUGCGGGGUCCGGCGCGACCCCAGCUCCCUGUACCUCCCCGUCAGGCGUCCUCCUGGAGUCAGGCGCGACCCCAGCCCCAUGUACCUCCCCGUCCCGCAUCCUCCCGGGGUCAGGCGCGACCCCAGCUCCCUGUACCUCCCCGUCAGGCGUCCUCCCGGGGUCAGGCGCGACCCCAGCCGCAUGUACCUCCCCGUCCCGCAUCCUCCCGGGGUCAGGCGCGACCCCAGCCCCCUGUACCUCCCCGUUCUCAGAGUAAUGGCUGUCUACAAGAAGACGGUAAGAAAAGCGUUUCAGUGAAAUAAUACCUUCUGUUUUAAAAUGUUUGUUAAAAGAAAACGAGAGAGAGAGAGAUGCUUUGGCUUUUUGGUUUUUCCUUUUCAGCUGCAGACCAUCGCAGUCAUUUGAUCAGAGCGGAGGGCAGCCAAAGGCCUCAGUAUCUUGAGGAUCACAACACAAAAAGGCACAGUGUGACUGUUCCCUAUGAGCCGCCCCAGGUAUCACUGCCUCUCACUUCUGACCUUUCCCCUAACGUAGCAAUUAAAUG